RNAcentral lists this ribosomal RNA (811 nucleotides) under uncultured archaeon. RNAcentral's name for it is "bacterial SSU rRNA". It matches the Rfam family "Archaeal small subunit ribosomal RNA", at positions 85 to 879 of the family's 1478-position model. The record is from RNAcentral.
ACUGCUCAGUAACACGUGGCUAAUCUGCCCUUGGGACCGGAACACCCCCGGGAAACUGGGGCUAGUUCUCGAUAGGUGAAGAACUCUGGAAUGAGUCUUUGCCAAAUAGAUACUUGCGUUAUGCUCGUAGGUGUCGCCCAAGGAUGAGGCCGCGACCGAUCAGGUUGUUGGUGAGGUAAUGGCUCACCAAGCCUUUUACCGGUGCGGGCCGUGAGAGCGGGAGCCCGGAGAUGGGCACUGAGACAAGGGCCCAGGCCCUACGGGGCGCAGCAGUCGCGAAAACUUUGCAAUAAGCGAAAGCUUGACAGGGCUAUCCCGAGUGCCAUCCGCUGAGGAAGGCUUUUACCCAGUCUAGAACGCUAGGGGAAUAAGGAGAGGGCAAGUCUGGUGUCAGCCGCCGCGGUAAUACCAGCUCUCCGAGUGGUGUGGAUGUUUAUUGGGCCUAAAGCAUCCGUAGCUGGCCAAGUUAGUCCCUUGUUGAAUCCACCGAAUUAAUCGUUGGAUUGCGGGGGAUACUGCUUGGCUAGGGGACGAGAGAGGCAGACGGUAUUUCCGGGGUAGGGGUGAAAUCCUAUAAUCCCGGGAAGACCACCAGUGGCGAAGGCUGUCUGCUAGAACGCGCCCGACGGUGAGGGAUGAAAGCUGGGGGAGCGAACCGGAUUAGAUACCCGGGUAGUCCCAGCUGUAAACGAUGCAGGCUAGGUGUUUGGACGGCCACGUGCCGUUCUAGUGCCGCAGGGAAGCUGUUAAGCCUGCCGCCUGGGGAGUACGAUCGCAAGAUUGAAACUUAAAGGAAUUGGCGGGGGAGCAC